CGCUACGGACUUAAAAUCCGUCGACUUUAUAAGUCGUGAGGGUUCAAGUCCCUCUAUCCCCA
This 62-nucleotide transfer RNA is filed under the name Arrhenatherum elatius. Its description in RNAcentral is "partial tRNA-Leu". It matches the Rfam family "tRNA", at positions 22 to 71 of the family's 71-position model. From Rfam's summary of the family: Transfer RNA (tRNA) molecules are approximately 80 nucleotides in length. Their secondary structure includes four short double-helical elements and three loops (D, anti-codon, and T loops). The record is from RNAcentral. RNAcentral also lists the same sequence under 23 other names. Lineage: Eukaryota; Viridiplantae; Streptophyta; Magnoliopsida; Poales; Poaceae.